Molecule: long non-coding RNA, 7455 nt
Filed under: Strongylocentrotus purpuratus (purple sea urchin)
Lineage: Eukaryota; Metazoa; Echinodermata; Echinoidea; Camarodonta; Strongylocentrotidae
Description: uncharacterized LOC585483, transcript variant X4
Source: RNAcentral
UCUGCAGAUACAGUAUAAAGCCAAGCAAGGUGUGGAGAGAGAUUUUGCUUAGUUGAAGCCAGUUGAAGUGAAGAUACAGUAUAAAGCCAAGCAAGGUGUGGAGAGAGAUUUUGCUUAGUUGAAGCCAGUUGAAGUGAAGAUCCUUGAAGUUGAAGUUGGUUGAAGCAGAGGUGUGAGUGAUAGCCAGCAAGAACACAAAUAAACAGCAAGGACGAGUGUUGGAUUGUCUGUGUUGGAGUUACUGGAAGGAGGUAGUGGUGUUUAAGUAAGUAUUAGGGGACUUGAGUUGAAAGUGUUCAGCCUAUGGUCAUGGUAGUAACUGUUCAAAAAGGAUUAAUUAUGUUAUGCCAUGUAGUGGCACUGAUUUAAUCUUACCUAUGUUUUGACUUUAUCUUACCUAUGUUUUGACUUUAAGGUCAGUUGAGCUGAUUCUAUAGGAAGGCACAAAAUGAACAAUUGUCAAAGCAAAUACUAUGAUUAUGAUUGCACAUGCAGCAAUUAAAAAAAAAUGAGAUUACAUUGUGAAAUAAGCCUACAAUGAGAUCAAAUAAAUCUGUUGGCAUAUAGGGUGAAAAAGUUUUAAACCAUGGGAUUGUUUAAGGCCAAAAUUUGGAUGAUAUAGUCAUUCAUUGGAAACCUCCAUGUUGUGUUGAGAUCAUGGGUCAAUUAUAUAGGUCAAAGUUUAAAUUAGGUCAAAUGUUAUGGCAUACCUGCAGGACUAAAGAAUAAAAAACAUUUUACACAUUGAAAAUCCUUAUUUGUCAAACCUGUAUUGCACAUUCUGUGUAUACCUCUGUCCGAAUAGGGGAAAGUGGUUAGACUUUUGUGACAAUUAAUCUUGUAACUUUUAUAUCCUGUCCAAAAUGAUUUUUACUAAAAUGAUUACUUGGUAUUCUGCUAUUAGCCAUAAUGGCUGGAAUUCACAAAGGUGGUUUAGAUUUAGACCACGGUUUAUGCUUUUUAUGGCUAUAUUACAUUGCGCUGUUUACAUUUUUAAUGUGCAAUAGUACCUGUGUUUUCAAGAUCUUCACACUUGGUACAAAAAUAAGGAAGAAUAGUUUUUGGUGUUAUAUAUCAAGGUUAUGUUUACAUAGACAUUUUCUGCUUGACAAGUCAAAUAAUUAUAUUGAGGGCUACGGCAAUACUGUGGUUCAUGGGAAGAAGGAGGCAUACCAGUAGACUGCACACAGUCGAAUCAAAUGAAACAUGUCUCAGCCAUCAUAUUAAGCCCAUCAAUUGUAGACUCUUCCAUUGGGUGUUGCCAAAAUUUGAAUAGAAUCCAUCAAACAUGUAAGGAGUUGGUCAAGAUGAAGAAAAAAAGGGGGGGGGGGUGUUAAACACAUAGUGCAAACAUGCACAAAUAUCUUGAUUUUAGUCUAAUACAAUACAUAUUGUACAUGUGACCUUGCCUAAGUCGAACUUGGAUAAGUCAAAACUUGCCAAAGUCGAAGGUCUACACAGAGCCCAACCUGUUUUGUCCUAUUGUUUUAUGACCCUCGGUCUCUCAGAAAGCUAUUUUAUGGAUCCCAAGAGAUUUUAGUUACUGUAUGUAAGGUUGAUUAUGUAUUCAAUUUUCUGUCUCUGUUCUUUUGGCAGGUACUGGUUGCUUUGGAAGGCAAUUUGUGUUUGUGUUGUUAUUUAUCAAAUCAUCUUCAUUUUUCAAAACAUUACAUACCAUACCAUUCCAUCUUCACCCUCAGAACUCGUGAUCUUGAGUUUUUGAGAAAAGCAGUACUCAUUCAGAAGUUCAUUUGAAGUUUCAUCCAGAAUCCCAUUCCCAUUCUAUCAUAUUCAAAACAUUACAUACCAUACCAUUCCAUCUUCACCCUCGGAACUCGUUAUCUGAGUUUUUGAGAAAAGCAGUACUCAUUCAGAAGUUCAUUUGAAAUUUCAUCCAGAAUCCCAUCCUAAAGUCUGUUUAUUGGCAACUCACGACAAUAAGCCUCUAGCACUUAUAAGCUAGUCGGUGAGUCAAGAAGAGUUGUGGUAGACAGCAAGAGAAAGUCUGUUUAUUGGCAACUCACGACAAUAAGCCUCUAGCACUCAUACAUAAGCUAGUCGGUGAGUCAAGAAGAGUUGUGAUAGAUAGCAAGAGAAAGUCUGUUUAUUGGCAACUCAUGACAAUAAGCCUCUAGCACUUAAGAAGCUAGUUGGUGAGUUAAAGAAGAGUUGUGAUAGAUAGCAAGAAUCACAUUGAACCACAAUUAUUCUAUUGAAACCUGAGAAACCUUGAAUCAAGAGCUAUUCUUAUCACAGAAGUGAUUCUUAUAACUUUUUUUCUGAAUCUAUUCUAAGCUGUCUGAACUUUUCUAAUUACAGAAGUAAUUCCUACAAGACAGAGGUCUUGAUCUUUUGCUACAGAAGUAGCCCUACUUUCUUGUGAUACUUUAUUUCUGAAUCUACUCUAUCUUACUGAACUUCACAAAUCUUCUCCUAUUUUACAAGCUUUCUAAAUAUAUUCUUUAUCACAGAAGUGAUUCCUACAAGAUUUCUGAAUCUAUUUUAUUCUAAGCUGUCUAAACUUUUCUUACCUAUUCCUAUUACUGAAAAAAGUGAGCUUGAUUGAGUGUAAAGUGAAUAAAGCAGAAUUGAUUGAAGAGAGUUUGGAGCUGAAUAUAUAGAAAUAAACGUAAGAUUGAUUGAUUGUAAAGUGCAUAAGCUGAAGUGAUUGCAGAGAGAACAGAGUUUGGAGAAAAGACAGAAAUAUAUGUGUGAUUGAUUUAAUUGCAAAGACAAUAAGAGUUGUAAAAGUAUAAGUGAGCCUAAGUGAUUGCAGAGAGUAAGACAAGAGCUUUGGUCAGGAUAUUCUGAGAUUGAGACAUACAAGUGAGGUUGAUUGCAGAGAAAGAAGUUUUGGUCAGGAUAUUUAGAGAUUGAGACAUACAAGUGAGGUCGAUCUAUUGCAGAGAAAGAAGUUUUGGUCAGGAUAUUUAGAGAUUGAGACAUACAAGUGAUAUUGAUUGCAGAGAAAGAAGUUCUGGUCAGGAUAUUUAGAGAUUGAGACAUACAAGUGAGGUCGAUCUAUUGCAGAGAAAGAAGUUUUGGUCAGGAUAUUUAGAGAUUGAGACAUACAAGUGAUAUUGAUUGCAGAGAAAGAAGUUCUGGUCAGGAUAUUUAGAGAUUGAGACAUACAAGUGAGGUUGAUUGCAGAGAAAGAAGUUCUGGUCAGGAUAUUUAGAGAUUGAGACAUACAAGUGAGGUUGAUUUUUCUUUAUUAUGGAAUUUGAAGGUGAUCAAUUCAAGGAAGUGAUACAAGAGAUUGUAGAUAUGCUAUGGAGUUGUGCAUCAGUUCUCGAUCCGCAGAAUGAAGAAUGUUGCGUAUGUAGGAAUACAAUUGAAGAAAGUGAAAACCAAGCUACUUGUGAGAGCUGCAAUGAAUAUUAUCAUGUGACAUGUAUGGGUUUUUUGUGUCAAGAUCGAGUGAAUGAGCGGAGAUUAAUCUGGAUUUGUUCAUCUUGUGGUAAUAACAACAUUGCGCAUCGACUGUUUGAUAAAGUAUGUAUCCCCUCUCAUUUGAAUAGAUACCAGCCUCUUGAGACAGUAGAUGAAGAAUUUGAUGAUGAUGUGCCCCUCUUACCCAAGCAAGAUGGCACACAAAAGAAAUCCAAAUCAAAGAAAAGGUAUUUUAAGAAAUGCAAGAAAAUCAAUAUAGAGCCAGGAAAUCAUAGUGAGUUUGACACACGUGAACAUGAUCCUGUAGUCACUCAAAGAGAUUCCCCCAAACAACGUGAUAAAGUGCAUAGUGAAGAAGUAGAUAGUAGUGAAUGGAUGAAGGUGAAAACAAAGAAGGCAAGGAUGUUGGAAAAGAUGCAAGAAAGAAUAUCGCAAUUAACAGCAAAAAGUGACAGUGGAACAGGUCAGGAAAAGAGAAUCAUAAAUGGUGUUGUUCUAGAACCUGGUGUAACAUACAUUGGCAAAGCAAUGAAAUCUUUCUAUGAAAGACGGAAAAGUAGAAAAUCAAAACGCAAAGUAGACAUCAAACUAAACAGAGAUGUAGAAUGUCGGAAAGUAAAGGAUAAUAGUGUUCAAAUGUACACAGAAACAUUGCUAGAUGAAUAUGCAAAGUGUGUGCAGUCACCACAGUCGAUGAUGUACCAUGAAACGCACCUCUACAAACAAAACAACGUGAAGGAGGAACAAUCUUGGGCUGAUGUAGUAGGCCAUGUACAAAAUGAAACAACACAGACAAAAUCUAUUGUUGGCAGUGUGACAUAUAGUCAUGUUUCUUUGAAACAAUCCAAGGGCAAAGAACAGAGCACAUUCAGAGUAUGUGGUGGUGCAAAACACUCACAAAAACCUGAAGUAGGAAACAAGAAAGUCCGUGUUCUAAAGGGCAACAAAACAUCUUGUGGAAAGUCAGUUGAUUCUAAAGUAUUGAAAAUGGAAGUAUUGAACGAUAAAGGAAAAGGAUGUGACGGAAAGACUAAAAGCGUGGGUGAAGUAAAGGUAGAUAAAGGCAAUAGUACUACUGUAAUCGAGGAGAAAUUGUGUGGCAGUGAUAAAGACAUGACAGAAAUACAGUCCAAAGCAGCAGAAAAUGGUCAGGUCAUUAAUACUUUUGAGGUUGGUAACCAAGUCACUUACAAAACAAGCAGUGAGCAUGAUGAUGAAUGUGCAAAUGAUCAAUUUGUCAAGUCACAGAAGUUUAUUCCUAAGAAAAUGUUUGGAAUGGAACAUGACAGUAAAUUCCAUAAACAGUCAGUCAACACGUCUAAUGUAAAUUUAGAAGAGAAGCAAAUCCCAAAUGAAAACAUAUCAAAUAUGGAACAAAAUACACUUGUGAAAUGUGUUGCCAUGGGCAAUUUUCAUCAAGGAAAUGCUAGAUUUGGAUUUUAUUCUGGAAAGCAAUGUGUUUCUAACAGUUUUGCUGCUAUUUUAUACAGUAAAAUUACAGAUGUUUCCCAAUGGCAAAAACAAGAUCUUGACAAGGUAUUGAUUUAUGGUAAUGAGUUGUAUAAAUUUAUUCAGCUUAGUUCUGCAAUAAAUGAUAAUUUCUUGUUGAUAUCUGAAUUACCUGAUCAAUUAGAAGCUUUUGAUGUCCAUUAUAAAAUGCAAUGUUCUCAGAGUGUUAUGGGUACAAUUUGUGGAGAUGAUUUUUUUUUGAUUAAUUUUAAUGCAGUAACAUUGAAAGAUGCUCUCCAUCAGGAAUUGGAUAGACAUGAUGCAUGCUUUUGUACAUUUGGUGGCCAAACAUUUGCAAUCAUAUCCACACGAAAACAAUAUUUUAUUUUUGAUUCACAUUCUAGAGACAGGCAUGGACUUAUGACAGAUGAUGGGACCAGUGUCGUUCUAUGUACAUCAAACUGGAAAGGGAAGGAAGUUAAUCACAACAUUCUGAGGCAGACAUGUAUCCAACAUUUGCUGCAAAACUCACAUAUAUUUGCUGGUUGUUUAAGGUCAACCAACUUAUCAUGAUGUCAGAAGUGUACGAGUGACCCUUGGAAGUUGUUUAUCGCCCUCCGACAUACAGAAUAAAAGACUUCUCAGCGACACUUCUGCCCCAGAGAUCACGUUCUGUCUCAGUAACGUCUUCGUCUAGGCUGCGGCGGGUGCCAGCACUGCCACAGCCUCCUGGGACGUCUCUACAACUAUGGACGCCUCAGAACCCAUCACAGCAGUCAGCAACUACUCGCCUGGUGAUUCCUUUGAUGUUGGCACUUAUCUGGUCAUAACGCUGGUUUCUACUCAACAUGCAGCUUUGAGGUCACUGUCACUUCAAGUGGAGUGGUCAUCGACAGAAAGAACCCCAUCCUGACCGGCUGUCUGACCGACAUCGUUGCCAAUGCCGGCCCUGGUACCUCGACCACGAUGGUUUCAUGGCUGGCUCCUGUGGCAUCAGACAACUCUGACUCCGCUACCCCGACGGUCAACCGACCACUAGGCAGUUCUUCCCUGUUGGAUCUACUGAGGUCACUUACACAGCUACCAACCCCACUGGGAACUUUGUCACGUGCAGUUUCGACUUCAAUGUCUUGUCUACCGAUGACAACACAGCCCCAGUCCUGUCGAACUGCCUUUCAGACCAAACCGUGUUCGCCUCUCAAAACGCCCAAGGUGCUGUAGCUACGUGGUCAGCACUGACUGCUACUGAUAACUCUGAUGACGUCAUGUCGAUCACAAGUGACUUCAGCUCCGGAACCCUUAUCCCGGUUGGCGUGACCACUGUGACCUUCACUGCUACGGACAGCUCUGGCAACAUGGACACUGUGAUUUCUCUGUUUCAGUCUUAGUUGGUGCCAACCCUUGUUCCAGCAACCCAUGCGCUCCCAGUGAACAGUGCUUCUACAUCCCAUCCCGAUACCUGUGUAUCAACAACGGCAGGAGGAGGAGAGAAGCUGAGAUGCUUGACCUUAGCUAUAUCUGCCUUUGCCAGAAUGGCGGUAUGUGUCUCCUAGACGACGCCACAUCCUCGGCCACCUGUGAAUGCCCCGUUGGAUACGCUGGUGUGCUCUGUGAGAUGGAUAUAAUGCCUGCUGCAUGGCGAUUAUGCUCGUCGUCAUCAUCUCUCUAUCUGGGUUGCCUUGUUACAUCAUACCGCGCCUCGGCAUGGUUCGUUGACAUCGAAGCAAGAUAGAUGAAAUUCCAAUCCUUCAAUAAACAGAACACUGCUCACAAGCUCAUUUAAAUCUAAUCUAAGCUUAUUGCAUUCAUGCCUUUGCUAGAAAGAUCCAUUGUGUAAUCCCAAUGGUAAGUUAUGAGAAUUGAAAUAUUGAAAUGUACAUGCGAGGAGAUAUCUAUUUCUAUGCAAAACAUGAAUUCAAAUGGCUGGUAAUUAGAUUUCUCAAAAGGGAAAAAUCUUGUGGCCAUUAGGCAAUGUUUGUUGAAGAAUGUCUUCUAACCAUUAUGUAUUAAUUGUGCUACAAAUGUCUGUAAAUACUGUGUACGCUUAAUGGUACAUUCUUAGUUGCAUAAUUUCACGUUGAUGUAAGACGUAGUCAAAGGCCGAAACAUGGAGGAGGUGUUGUUUUCAAUGUGCUGAUUGGGUGUCAAUGCGAUUUUUUGUUUAUGUCCCAUGAAACUAUUUGUUAAUAUGUUAUGUUACUUCUCUGAGAUUACCCUAAGAAUAUUCUCUCUGUGUGAACACUUACUAGCCUUUCUCUCUGAAAUUCAUCUAGAAAUGCUGUGUUUGUAAUGUUUUUGUCACGACAGAACUGAUCAUUUGUCGAUUUUUCUUCUUCAAACUAAUUGUUGACGGCUCAGACUUUAAUGCCAACUGAAAAAUAUGGCUAUGUUUAGGUUGUUUUGUUGGAAAGGAGUAAUGUUUGGAAGUAUUUUUGACUUUAUUUCGCUUCAGGUAUGCUUUUGUGUGGUUUAAAUCCCUGACUACGGUACUUUAUUUCAAUCUCAAAGUAUUUCAAACACCAAAGCAUUUCAGAAAUGCCAAAUAUAUCAUGUUUUAUAUUGCAUUCACUUAUAUAUAUUGCAGAAUUUUUAUAUUAAAUUACAUCAAUUCUG